This 21-nucleotide microRNA is filed under the name Picea abies (Norway spruce). RNAcentral's name for it is "pab-miR11423k". Lineage: Eukaryota; Viridiplantae; Streptophyta; Pinopsida; Pinales; Pinaceae. The record is from miRBase by way of RNAcentral.
CGGUCAAUGGCGUUUCGGGGC